RNAcentral lists this non-coding RNA (176 nucleotides) under Psychroflexus sediminis. The record is from RNAcentral. Lineage: Bacteria; Pseudomonadati; Bacteroidota; Flavobacteriia; Flavobacteriales; Flavobacteriaceae.
UUUGGGGUGACCCAUACAUUGAAGUAAGCCAGACUGCGUAAACUGUGCUGACGAACAGGAACUGAAUACAGAGGCUAUGAGGUUGGAUGAGUAGGCACAUCACUGCAAAGUCCAAGACCGUAUUUUCGGAUAACCAAAAUAGUAGAUUCAGCAGUUAUAGUUUAAAGGGUAUUUAU